RNAcentral lists this transfer RNA (76 nucleotides) under Pseudoalteromonas sp. RNAcentral's name for it is "tRNA-Glu". It matches the Rfam family "tRNA". From Rfam's summary of the family: Transfer RNA (tRNA) molecules are approximately 80 nucleotides in length. RNAcentral also lists the same sequence under 1 other name. The record is from RNAcentral. Lineage: Bacteria; Pseudomonadati; Pseudomonadota; Gammaproteobacteria; Alteromonadales; Pseudoalteromonadaceae.
GUCCCCAUCGUCUAGAGGCCUAGGACACCGCCCUUUCACGGCGGUAACAGGGGUUCGAAUCCCCUUGGGGACACCA